RNAcentral lists this non-coding RNA (26 nucleotides) under Mus musculus (house mouse). Lineage: Eukaryota; Metazoa; Chordata; Mammalia; Rodentia; Muridae. The record is from RNAcentral.
AUGAAGCAGACGCUCGCUAAGCAGGA